Molecule: long non-coding RNA, 206 nt
Filed under: Elaeis guineensis (African oil palm)
Lineage: Eukaryota; Viridiplantae; Streptophyta; Magnoliopsida; Arecales; Arecaceae
Description: long non-coding RNA (EGUI_LNC066758)
Source: RNAcentral
GAGCACUGCAGAUCCUUUCUAUAGUGGUCUUCCUCUAUCUAUCUGCAUGUUUCUUAAAAAACUCACAUGGCUACUCUUCAUUAGGUCUCAUAAGCACUAUUUCAUCAAGUCUAUAUUGAGAGUUAUCACAGCAUCAAAGUUCACGAUCAGACCAUUCAACAAAUCAGGCAUCAAGCUAAGCAAUACAGAUGCUUUCUACUCAUCAU